Molecule: unclassified non-coding RNA, 334 nt
Filed under: soil metagenome
Description: partial contains 5.8S ribosomal RNA, internal transcribed spacer 2, and large subunit ribosomal RNA
Rfam family: 5.8S ribosomal RNA (bases 1-120)
Source: RNAcentral
GAUGAAGAACGUAGCGAAAUGCGAUAAGUAAUGUGAAUUGCAGAAUUCAGUGAAUCAUCGAAUCUUUGAACGCACAUUGCGCCCGCCAGUAUUCUGGCGGGCAUGCCUGUUCGAGCGUCAUUUCAACCAUCAAGCCCCAGGCUUGUGUUGGGGACCUGCGGCUGCCGCAGGCCCUGAAAACCAGUGGCGGGCUCGCUGUCACACCGGGCGUAGUAGAUUUUAUCUCGCUCAGGGCGUGCUGCGGGUUCCGGCCGUAAAAUCACCAAUUUAUCAAGGUUGACCUCGGAUCAGGUAGGAAUACCCGCUGAACUUAAGCAUAUCAAUAAGCGGAGGA